RNAcentral lists this ribosomal RNA (426 nucleotides) under uncultured Enterobacteriaceae bacterium. RNAcentral's name for it is "bacterial SSU rRNA". It matches the Rfam family "Bacterial small subunit ribosomal RNA", at positions 355 to 774 of the family's 1533-position model. Lineage: Bacteria; Pseudomonadati; Pseudomonadota; Gammaproteobacteria; Enterobacterales; Enterobacteriaceae. The record is from RNAcentral.
UGGGGAAUAUUGCACAAUGGGCGCAAGCCUGAUGCAGCCAUGCCGCGUGUAUGAAGAAGGCCUUCGGGUUGUAAAGUACUUUCAGCGAGGAGGAAGGCAUUAAGGUUAAUAACCUUGGUGAUUGACGUUACUCGCAGAAGAAGCACCGGCUAACUCCGUGCCAGCAGCCGCGGUAAUACGGAGGGUGCAAGCGUUAAUCGGAAUUACUGGGACGUAAAGCGCACGCAGGCGGUCUGUCAAGUCGGAUGUGAAAUCCCCGGGCUCAACCUGGGAACUGCAUUCGAAACUGGCAGGCUAGAGUCUUGUAGAGGGGGUAGAAUUCCAGGUGUAGCGGUGAAAUUGCGUAGAGAUCUGGAGGAAUACCGGUGGCGAAGGCGCCCCCUGGACAAAGACUGACGCUCAGGUGCGAAAGCGUGGGAGCAAACA